This 180-nucleotide ribosomal RNA is filed under the name uncultured Glomeromycotina. RNAcentral describes it as "partial small subunit ribosomal RNA". It matches the Rfam family "Eukaryotic small subunit ribosomal RNA", at positions 651 to 830 of the family's 1831-position model. Lineage: Eukaryota; Fungi; Glomeromycota. The record is from RNAcentral.
GGAUUAAUUUACUGGUCGUGCUAUUGUACGUACUGGUUUUAUUGAUUCCUCCCUUCUGACGAACUAUGAUGUCAUUAAUUUGGUGUCAUAGGAAAUCAGGACUGUUACUUUGAAAAAAUUAGAGUGUUUAAAGCAGGCAUCCGCUUGAAUACAUUAGCAUGGAAUAACAGAAUAAGACUU